This 429-nucleotide ribosomal RNA is filed under the name Actinomycetes bacterium. RNAcentral's name for it is "Actinobacteria bacterium partial 16S ribosomal RNA". It matches the Rfam family "Bacterial small subunit ribosomal RNA", at positions 355 to 776 of the family's 1533-position model. The record is from RNAcentral. Lineage: Bacteria; Bacillati; Actinomycetota; Actinomycetes.
UAGGGAAUCUUCCGCAAUGGGCGAAAGCCUGACGGAGCAACGCCGCGUGAGUGAUGAAGGUCUUCGGAUCGUAAAACUCUGUUAUUAGGGAAGAACAAAUGUGUAAGUAACUAUGCAAGUCUUGACGGUACCUAAUCAGAAAGCCACGGCUAACUACGUGCCAGCAGCCGCGGUAAUACGUAGGUGGCAAGCGUUAUCCGGAAUUAUUGGGCGUAAAGCGCGCGUAGGCGGUUUUUUAAGUCUGAUGUGAAAGCCCACGGCUCAACCGUGGAAGGUCAUUGGAAACUGGAAAUCUUGAGUGCAGAAGAGGAAAGUGGAAUUCCAUGUGUAGCGGUGAAAUGCGCAGAGAUAUGGAGGAACACCAGUGGCGAAGGCGACUUUCUGGUCUGUAACUGACGCUGAUGUGCGAAAGCGUGGGGAUCAAACAGG